CACCACUCAAGCCUCGCUUGGUAUUGGGCGCCGCGGUGUUCCGCGCGCCUCAAAGUCUCCGGCUGAGCUGUCCGUCUCUAAGCGUUGUGAUUUCAUUAAUCGCUUCGGAGCGCAGGGCGUCGCCCGCCGGACGAACCUUCUGAACUUUUCUCAA
Molecule: unclassified non-coding RNA, 154 nt
Filed under: uncultured Ascomycota
Lineage: Eukaryota; Fungi; Ascomycota
Description: sequence contains ITS2
Source: RNAcentral